GUAUGAUGGCCCCACGAGGACUUAACUGUCUCCCUUGUCCAAUCAGUGAAACUGAUCUCCUCGUGCAGAAGCGAGGAUUCUCUCAUAAGACGAGAAGACCCUAUGGAGCUUUAAACUAAAAUCAACUAUUACCCACCUAUCCUCUAAGGGCCUAAUAAAUAGCUAAAUAUGCUUGAUUUAAGUUUUAGGUUGGGGCGACCAUGGAGAAAAAGAAAUCCUCCCUGAUGACCACAAACCAAGAGUCACUACUCUAAGUAUUAAGACGCUUAACUCUAAUUGACCCAUUUUAUGAUCAACGAACCAAGUUACCCUAGGGAUAACAGCGCAAUCCAUUUCAAGAGUCCCUAUCGACAAGUGGGUUUACGACCUCGAUGUUGGAUCAGGGCAUCCAAGUGGUGCAACCGCUACUAAUGGUUCGUUUGUUCAACGAUUAAAGCCCUACGUGAUCUGAGUUCA
RNAcentral lists this ribosomal RNA (456 nucleotides) under Megophrys feae (Kakhien Hills spadefoot toad). RNAcentral's name for it is "partial 16S ribosomal RNA". It matches the Rfam family "Bacterial large subunit ribosomal RNA", at positions 1990 to 2613 of the family's 2925-position model. The record is from RNAcentral. Lineage: Eukaryota; Metazoa; Chordata; Amphibia; Anura; Megophryidae.